RNAcentral lists this ribosomal RNA (465 nucleotides) under uncultured bacterium. RNAcentral describes it as "partial 16S ribosomal RNA". It matches the Rfam family "Bacterial small subunit ribosomal RNA", at positions 28 to 507 of the family's 1533-position model. The record is from RNAcentral.
GACGAACGCUGGCGGCGUGCUUAACACAUGCAAGUCGAACGGAAAGGCCCCUUUGGGGGUACUCGAGUGGCGAACGGGUGAGUAACACGUGAGUAACCUGCCCUUGACUUCGGGAUAACUUCAGGAAACUGGGGCUAAUACCGGAUAGGAAUCCUUGCUGCAUGGUGGGGGUUGGAAAGCUUCGGCGGGUUUGGAUGGACUCGCGGCUUAUCAGCUUGUUGGUGGGGUAGUGGCUUACCAAGGCUUUGACGGGUAGCCGGACUGAGAGGGCGACCGGCCACAUUGGGACUGAGAUACGGCCCAGACUCCUACGGGAGGCAGCAGUGGGGAAGAUUGCACAAUGGGCGGCGGCCUGAUGCAGCAACGCCGCGUGCGGGAUGACGGCCUUCGGGUUGUAAACCGCUUUCAGCAGGGGCGAAGCUUGUGGUGACGGUACCUGCAGAAGAAGCACCGGCUAACUACGUG